Molecule: ribosomal RNA, 406 nt
Filed under: uncultured bacterium
Lineage: Bacteria
Description: partial 16S ribosomal RNA
Rfam family: Bacterial small subunit ribosomal RNA
Source: RNAcentral
AUUGAACGCUGGCGGCAGGCUUAACACAUGCAAGUCGAACGAGUGGCGGACGGGUGAGUAAUGCUUGGGAAACUGCCUGAUGGAGGGGGAUAACGACGGGAAACGGUCGCUAAUACCGCAUACCAUCAGAUGUGCCCAGGUGGGAUUAGGUAGUUGGUGGGGUAAUGGCUUACCAAGGCGACGAUCCCUAGCUGGUCUGAGAGGAUGACCAGCCACACCGGAACUGAGACACGGCCCGGACUCCUACGGGAGGCAGCAGUGGGGAAUAUUGCGCAAUGGGGGCAACCCUGACGCAGCCAUGCCGCGUGAAUGAAGAAGGCCUUCGGGUUGUAAAGUUCUUUCGGUGGCGAGGCGUUACCCACAGAAGAAGCACCGGCUAACUCCGUGCCAGCAGCCGCGGUAAUAC